GAGCUUAGAGUUUGAUCCUGGCUCAGAUUGAACGCUGGCGGCAGGCCUAACACAUGCAAGUCGAGCGGUAGAGAGGUGCUUGCACCUCUUGAGAGCGGCGGACGGGUGAGUAAUGCCUAGGAAUCUGCCUGGUAGUGGGGGAUAACGCUCGGAAACGGACGCUAAUACCGCAUACGUCCUACGGGAGAAAGCAGGGGACCUUCGGGCCUUGCGCUAUCAGAUGAGCCUAGGUCGGAUUAGCUAGUUGGUGAGGUAAUGGCUCACCAAGGCGACGAUCCGUAACUGGUCUGAGAGGAUGAUCAGUCACACUGGAACUGAGACACGGUCCAGACUCCUACGGGAGGCAGCAGUGGGGAAUAUUGGACAAUGGGCGAAAGCCUGAUCCAGCCAUGCCGCGUGUGUGAAGAAGGUCUUCGGAUUGUAAAGCACUUUAAGUUGGGAGGAAGGGCAGUUACCUAAUACGUAAUUGUUUUGACGUUACCGACAGAAUAAGCACCGGCUAACUCUGUGCCAGCAGCCGCGGUAAUACAGAGGGUGCAAGCGUUAAUCGGAAUUACUGGGCGUAAAGCGCGCGUAGGUGGUUCGUUAAGUUGGAUGUGAAAGCCCCGGGCUCAACCUGGGAACUACAUUCAAAACUGUCGAGCUAGAGUAUGGUAGAGGGUGGUGGAAUUUCCUGUGUAGCGGUGAAAUGCGUAGAUAUAGGAAGGAACACCAGUGGCGAAGGCGACCACCUGGACUGAUACUGACACUGAGGUGCGAAAGCGUGGGGAGCAAACAGGAUUAGAUACCCUGGUAGUCCACGCCGUAAACGAUGUCAACUAGCCGUUGGGAGCCUUGAGCUCUUAGUGGCGCAGCUAACGCAUUAAGUGACCGCCUUGGAU
This 881-nucleotide ribosomal RNA is filed under the name uncultured bacterium. Its description in RNAcentral is "bacterial SSU rRNA". It matches the Rfam family "Bacterial small subunit ribosomal RNA", at positions 1 to 879 of the family's 1533-position model. The record is from RNAcentral.